ACCGCCCUUGGCAUUAAACGCUAAUUUGACUCCUGAGUUGCAGAGCAUUUCUACCUGUGGGAGCCGUCAGAUCGAUAAAUGCUUUUUAAAAUGCUAACUCCACUUGUGAAAAUCCUUGAUGUAGACCACGGGAGAUGGACAACGAGAAGCGUGAGAGCUGUACCUUACCGAGUUGCAGAAAUCCAAUGUCGAUCCUAUAGACAAGAUUCCAGCCGAACGGCAGUAAGGAGAGGAAAAGACACAUGGAACGAUACAAACAGAAGUAGUGGCAGGUGGCGUAGGGAAGGGACACGCAAGGUGUCCUCGGAGUCCUGCUGCAUCCUGGCGUCGAGGGGAGGGUCAGGGGGAGUCCUUUAGCUCUGAAAGAAGCAUGGCAGGUGCGGGUUUUCUUCCCAGUGUAGUAGGUUACAGUGUUUUCCUUCCUGUGUUCACAAGGAUAAAAGAUGAACUGUAACUUGUGAAUGGAAAUCACGUGGUCCGUAUUCAGCAGUCACUCCCACGUUUAACUAGUCUUCCCCGGUACAAUUCCCAGCCCUCAGAUACCUUCCAGAUACCUGAGUGCUGACUCGGUGGCCCGGACAUCUGUUGUCAGGCUGGAGAAGCUGCUUUGAACAUCCGGGGUGGCAGCUUUGGAAUGAAUCAGCUCCCCUGCACCUUCCGUGGUGACUCUGUUCGGUUUUGUUAUUCCAAGUUUUCACUGAUCCGAUUUCAUUCUUAAAGACUGGUGACCGGUCAAACCUAGGGAGGAUGUUGGCGUCCCUAACCCCUGGUUGUUCCCAUGUCAACUGUCCUGGAUUUGUUGUGCUGAGCACUAGCGAUUCAUUGGUGGGUGAAGACAGGAGUGAGUAAAAUAUCCGUGCCUGGUGGGCCUUACGUCCUAACGAUGGAAGAGACACGCUGAAUAUAUAAUUUUAGUUUUCCUGUAAGUGCCAUGGAGAAAAAUCAAAGUACGUGAGGGAGAUUGACAGACACGGGUGUGAGCCCCGGUGGAUUACCUCUUUCACUUGUACUCUCAUUUUUCUGAAUGACUCCAUUCCUUCAUUUAAAAGCCAGUGGCUCUUGAAUUUUUGUGAUGGCUCUAGAGCCAAUGUACUGUCAGCAGUCUCUAAAAUAACUACAAAUAUUCUCUCGUUUUCAAAUCUCAUGCAAAGUAAAAGGCUCUGAGGAGCUGCUCACAGCUUUUUAUGCUUUGUCCGUGGAAUCUUAUAAAAUGAUAGCGCUCUGUGUGGUGUCUUCGGGAUAUUGAUUCAUUAAAAAUCAAAUUUAUAGUGUCAGAACCGAAGAACUAUAUUUAUUACAUGCAUUGAAAUUUAUGCAAGUUAAGGCUUUGCUUUUGUUUUUGUUUUCUGGGUUUUUCUGGCCUAAUUUUAUUGCCACAAUUGUAUCCAUGGUCAGUAACCAUGUGAAAUCCUAUGUUUAUGAUUGAAACUUUUUGAACGAUUUUUUAAAACUUUGCAAUAAUAUUAGGCUAACUGGCCCAUUUAGAAAAUGAAGAGUUUCUCGUGUAAGCAAUUUUUUGUGAGCUCAUGAUUCUAAUUCGUUUGUGCGUGAACUUAAGGUUGGUGCACUCCCGUGGAUGUUCUGAGCAUAUGUAUUUGAGAGUAUUUUCUAGAGCCUCCCUUGGAUUCUUGAUCCAAAAAGCAGACCAUCCCCUGCUGCGGUAGAACCACUGUUUUGAACGGGAGGGAAAUAGUAACUUCAGUCAAGCACUGUAAACUGAGGAACGUGUCUCCAAAAGUUUCCAGGGGCAGAGAGCAGUGUUAGAGGUUCAUAGGCGUGCCAGAUGUUUCCAGAGCAUCUCAG
Long non-coding RNA from Lynx canadensis (Canada lynx), 1803 nucleotides. RefSeq lists it as uncharacterized. Lineage: Eukaryota; Metazoa; Chordata; Mammalia; Carnivora; Felidae. The transcript is spliced from 2 exons. The record is from RefSeq and is a predicted model, not a curated record.